Long non-coding RNA from Dromaius novaehollandiae (emu), 1024 nucleotides. NCBI's taxonomy places the organism in Eukaryota, Metazoa, Chordata, Aves, Casuariiformes, Dromaiidae. The record is from Ensembl.
UAUAGGAUCAGGGUUCUUGCAGUGUCAGGGAUUUAAGACUUUUUAACUCCCCCUCCCCCGCCUUUUUUCCUUGCUUGUCUGAACAGCUCUGGGCUCCCCCGGCAUCACUUCAGUGCAAGGACCCGUCUGACACUACUUAUGCCAGGUCCUGCCUCCCUCACAGGAGAAGCAGUCUGCAACUUUUGCUGCUCUAGACAACACUUCAUCUCCGAGAGGCAGAGCUCUGCAGAGCGGAUCUGGGAUACUGCAAAACGAUGGGCUUUCCUGGACUGUGAAGAGCUUGCCACUGUGCCAUGGUCCCCUGCGGAAAAGGAAGGCUGUCUGGAAGUUGCUGAGUUCUGUUUGUUUUUCCCAUCAGGAAGAGAUGGUUUUAAAAGYAGUUUAAGGGAGGUGGAAACCUCAAGCUCACGAGGUAGAAGAGCCCUGACGAACUGUAUGGGCAAAUGCAGGAUGGGUCCGUCCUCUUUCCUGUUGCUGCUGGCCCUGUUCAGCACCUUGCGGCCCUCUCCAGGAGGCUGCACUCCGAACCCUUCCCGGUUUCACUUUGCGAGUGGAAGGUGCUUGGAGAAGGGAGCAAAGGGUUCGUGCCCUUGCAGUGCAAGCUUACGGAAAUCUGUGCCCUGGGCUAAUUUGUUUUUUUUAAUAUUUUUUUUUAUGGGAACUCUUUUAAAAAACAAACAACCCAAAAGGCAAGCAUCUUCCAGAGCCGACGCUUCUCCCCUGCCCCGCCAAGUUGUGCUGUGCACCCUGGCCCCACCUUCUCUCCCUCCCGCUGCAUCUUCAUGUCACCGCAGGGAUGCGAGUGGCAUCGUGGCACUUGGUGAGCGGGGGCAGUGCUGUUUCCUGCUGCAGAAAGGGGACAGCGUCGGUGUAAAUUAGCCCGAUUUUUUGUGGGCAUUGGAAACUUCAGAGGCACUCUAUUCAUUGCUGUUAAAAGUGCUGCAGUAUUGGGUGGUCUGUAUAGAUGUCUUAUAUUAAAAGUAAUAAUAAUAAAAUAYUGCCAGUUUGGUUUUGUUUUCUGUGG